UCUAAGUUCAGAGGCUGCUAGUGUUAAGUGAGUGAGAGAGUGUAAACACUUGGUUUGGGGAAAAACUAUAAGCUUAAACAUCAUAAGCUUAUCAAACACUUGGGAAGUAAGUGAGUGCUAUAGUAUUUCGGUGGAUGUUAGAUUGAUCUUGCAAUCUUUGAGGGAAUCCAAGUUCUUAAGCACUUAAGUGGUGGAGUGUUCCAAAAGUCCUAACUCAGUCCAUUUUAUCCCGGUAACUUUGGAAAAUAAGCUUAGAGGCGGUAAGAUUCGUGAUGCUUGGGAGGAUGUGUAUCGAUGAUGAAUGGAGUCAAGGGGCCGAGCGUUAUCGAUUCGAGGAUGUAGUCUCCUUUUAUGUUUUUUAUGGUUUUACAUGUAUUUUCCGCAUUAUUAUGUAAUGUCUUUUAUUUUAAAUCUUAUUUUGUU
This is a long non-coding RNA of Humulus lupulus (European hop), 423 nucleotides long. RefSeq lists it as uncharacterized. The record is from RefSeq and is a predicted model, not a curated record. NCBI's taxonomy places the organism in Eukaryota, Viridiplantae, Streptophyta, Magnoliopsida, Rosales, Cannabaceae. The transcript has 3 exons.